UGCCUGUGAUGAUUUAAUAAACAAACUUUUCUGACACCUACUAUGAGAGCUGAACUUCAGCCACUGAUUCGAACUUUAUUCUGAGGCUA
This is a small nucleolar RNA of Melanotaenia boesemani (Boeseman's rainbowfish), 89 nucleotides long. RefSeq annotates it as small nucleolar RNA SNORD60. The record is from RefSeq and is a predicted model, not a curated record. The transcript has a single exon. NCBI's taxonomy places the organism in Eukaryota, Metazoa, Chordata, Actinopteri, Atheriniformes, Melanotaeniidae.